AAUGUGUUCGGCGGGGCAAAGAUAUUUCAGGCUAGUUCUUAUCCUGUUCAGUUGACCUCCUUUCUGAAGACCAGGGCAAGUCUCUUCGCCUUUAAAAACAAUUGGCACAUCUACCUUCAACUCCGAGCCUUCAUCAGCCCAUACAAAUACAAUAUUCAAAAUCUUCCCGGUCUCUUCAUCCCUAUGAAUUUUGACUGGAAGGAUGGAUCCUGAUUCAAGAAGGACUGAAGAUCCGGAACCAGCGCGGAUCUGGAGCUUGAACCUAGUGGAGCA
RNAcentral lists this unclassified non-coding RNA (273 nucleotides) under Hevea brasiliensis (rubber tree). Lineage: Eukaryota; Viridiplantae; Streptophyta; Magnoliopsida; Malpighiales; Euphorbiaceae. The record is from RNAcentral.